GAUGAACGCUGGCGGCGUGCUUAACACAUGCAAGUCGAACGGAAAGGCCCUGCUUUUGUGGGGUGCUCGAGUGGCGAACGGGUGAGUAACACGUGAGUAACCUGCCCUUGACUUUGGGAUAACUUCAGGAAACUGGGGCUAAUACCGGAUAGGAGCUCCUGCUGCAUGGUGGGGGUUGGAAAGUUUCGGCGGUUGGGGAUGGACUCGCGGCUUAUCAGCUUGUUGGUGGGGUAGUGGCUUACCAAGGCUUUGACGGGUAGCCGGCCUGAGAGGGUGACCGGCCACAUUGGGACUGAGGUGCGGCCGAGACUCCUACGGGAGGCAGCAGUGGGGAAUAUUGCACAAUGGACGGAGGCCUGGUGCAGCAGCGCCGCGUGCGGGAUGACGGCCUUCGGGUUGUAAACCGCUUGCGCCUGUGACGAAGCGUGAGUGACGGUAAUGGGUAAAGAAGCACCGGCUAACUACGUG
This 468-nucleotide ribosomal RNA is filed under the name uncultured bacterium. Its description in RNAcentral is "partial 16S ribosomal RNA". It matches the Rfam family "Bacterial small subunit ribosomal RNA", at positions 28 to 507 of the family's 1533-position model. The record is from RNAcentral.